Non-coding RNA from Macaca mulatta (Rhesus monkey), 3745 nucleotides. Lineage: Eukaryota; Metazoa; Chordata; Mammalia; Primates; Cercopithecidae. The record is from RefSeq and is a predicted model, not a curated record.
UCACCGUGCCCAGCUAUUUUUUUUUUUAAUUAAAUAAAAAUCUGCUGCCUCUCCAAGCAGAAUCCUUUUGAAAGCAAAGGGCCCGUGGUUCAGCCUUCAGUUCACUCUUUUGUGCUUGGCACAGCACUUGGCAUUCUGUAGCAAAUACUCCUUUGGAAAGAGAGAUUAAGCAACUUGCCAAAACCAUUCAGGUAGUAAAUGAUAGACUCACAUUUUGAACACAUACCCUGCUCAUCACACCCUCUCAUGGAGUUCUCAUCAGCACCACGCUCAGUGCACCAGGUGAGUCCCCCUUCUUUUUUGAGGUCACCCCCACUCGGCUUCUGAACGUCCCAAACAGGGAAUUUUGUCCACUCCUACCCCCACGUUCAGUCUGCCCUCUCCCUAAUAGACAGCAUCCUAAACCUGGUGAACUAAAUUUACUGGUAAAUGGCUAGUGGGCUAAUGGCACUUUGGUGAUUGUCCUUUGCUAAUUUUACUGUUGUUAGAAAGUUGUUCUCAACCCCAGCACUUUCCAUUUGGGAGCUUUUUCAGAGGCCAGAAUCUCUAUUUACAACCAAAACGCCAGGGUGGCAGCGAGAGGGCGCGGUCCAGUCGUGGUACGCCCCUGGCCACUCCGCGGCACCGUUACCCCGCCCCCCGCCUGAGCCACCGGCGCGCCCCGUUGUAGCCAUUGGAGACACCACACGGUCUUUUAGGAAAGCGGGCCAUUAGCCGGUGUUCAGGAGAGAAACGUGGCCACCUCCCCACGGGCGGGUGCUGAUCUGCGGUGGAGACCUCGUCCCCCGCAGAGAGCGACCGAAAUCCCCUUGGGCCGCUGGGUCUUGCAUGGCUGGAUGCCUGGAUGCCGCCUGUCCAAGGCUUUAGCGACCGUGUCUCCCUUCAUGACCUUGGCCUCUGUGACAGGCAGGCCCAGCAGCUGCCCCAACAUCCCGGUCAGCUGGAGCCUGUUUUCCUGACAUGGGUUUUCUCUAAACUUCAUGUCAGAUUGGAAGCGCACUGCUGAGAAGCCCCACGAGAAGGCCCGGACAUCUCAGUACCCUGACUCCAAGGUGGAGCGAAGCCUGGUUCCCCAUGAGAAAGUGAGCUGGCUGGCCGAGUGACGAGAAUAACGCCCCGAGAGUACACUGCCAGCUCUGUCUUGGACGGGCCCAUGUGGGCAGACCCUCAAGUGGGUGAAAGGAACUUCUCUCCUAAGUUUAACAAAAAGGAUGGGUAUGUGGAGAGAAGGAGCCAGCAUGGCUUGUAUGAGAUUGAGAAAGGUAGACUUAGAACUCCUGCAUGUCGGACAGGACUGGUUGGCCCAGGGCUUUUGGGGUGUUGAGGCCCCAAUCAUACUGCAGAUCCCAUCUUAACCAGAUGGAAAAGGGAUAGCAAGGGAAACUAAAUUACCCACCCUAUUUCUGGGAAAAAUAUCCUGCAAUUUGUAGCCAUCAAAAGGAAGGACUGUGGAGAAUAGGCAAUCCCAGGGUGGGUGGUAGAUCCAGGAGAGAAAAUGAGUGCUACAUUGGAGAGAGAAUUUGGCUAGGAAGCCAUGAAGUCUUUAUAGAAAUCUAGGGAAGAAAUGCAGGAGUUGGAGAAACAAUUGCACAAAUUCUUCAGCCAGGAACAUUUUGUGGUCUAUAAAGGCUAUGUGGAUGAUUCUCGGAACACAGAUAACUCCUGGAUAGAGACAGAGGCUGUGAACUACCAUGAUGAAACCGGUGAAAUAAUGGACCAUCUUCCUCUGGAAGCUGGCAAUGAUGCCAAGAAAGUGAAAUGGGUGGACAUUAAUGAUAAAUUUGAGCUUUAUGCCAGCCACUCCCAAUUUAUUCAACUUGUGUCUGAGAAACAAGGUGCCCAAUGGAGUGAGGACAUGUAUCCUGAUUGCCAGGGAUAGUGGCUUGGAGUCUCGUGUGAGCCAAAGGCCUUCAAAUGAUCAAGAGUGGGUGAGAGGCAAACAGCACAUAACUCCCACUAAAUAGGACAGGGAGGGUCACCUCUUUGGUGAUUAAUUCCAAAACUGUGCUAUAUGAAGGCUUUGUAUUAGGGAAUAAUAUUAGACAAAUAUGGGGAAAUGGGAUCACAGAAGUUUUGGCUUUCCUGUUAGAAGAAUAUACUCACAUGCUGUAUAUAUUGUAUACAUGGUUUAAACUAACUUACACAACUACUGCUCUUUGGAGAAUUGUAAGAAAAACAAUGACAUCUUCCUUAACAACCAUAGCCUCUACUUUUCAGCCAGUUUGCAUUUGUCAAUUCUUCUUCCUCCUGAUGUUUUAAUGUGGCAUAAUCUAAUGUAUAAUCUGACUUUUGAGUUAACAUUUAUUUUUUAAAUUUAGCAUUAUGUGGUCUUGUUUUCCUUGCUUUUGAGUAUGGGAGCUUUCUGGCUUUUCUUUCUUUUUUUUUUUUUUAGAGCUUCAGUUUUAUAGGAAAAGUUCAAUCUCUAUUUUUGUCCACAAGGAUCAAGUGCUUAUGAACCAGACCAAAAAAAAAAAAAAAAAUGCAGUGACAAAAUGAGCUUAGAUCCAGCCCUCUGGUUAUCAGAACUCUUUCUGUCUGAACAGAAUAAACUAAGCUGAAGAUAAUGGUUUCUUCUCAUUUCAGAAGAAGACCCUACAAGUGCAGAUUCUUGUCAUGCAGAUGGCUUUAUUGGGACAUGUAUAUAAUCCAAGCCUAAUGAAAAUACAAUAAUUCACAUCUACCUUUUCUCAAUUAAAAUAAAAACCCAAUAUGCAAACAGAGAAGAUGCUUAUAGUCAGCCUGCAAACACAGAGACAGCCUCUCUGACAAGAAUGUGGGGAUUCCAAUAGCAACAAAUAGGUCAGAAACCUGUUUUAUUCUUUCAUUUCUCAUCACCUAAAACAAGCCAGUUAAAUUUAUUUGCAACAUACGGAAAAUUAACUCAAACCACUAUAAUGAGCCUUUUAUGACUGAGGGAAAAAUAAAGACAAUUGCAGGAGUUGAUAGCAUCAUAAGAGGAUUGCUUCAAUAAUAAUAGCUGACACAUUCCGCUUACUAUGUGCAAGCACCCUUUCACAUGCUUUAUGUAUGGUGACUUAUUGAUUCCUAAAGAUCACCCUAUAAGGAAGGUACUCUUAUGUUGCAGGUCAGACUCCCUGGGAAGCAGAUUCCAAGAGGGAGAUUAGAUUACAAGAUGUUUACUAGGGAGUGGUCUUGGGAUCAACACCUGGGAAAAGAAGGAGAAGAAAGGAGGAUUGAGCAAAGUGAGCAGCUGAGCUGGAAUGCAGGCCCAAUGGAAGCCUCAGCCAACUCCAUCUAGAACUCUGGAGCUGGGAAGGCCCUUUUAGCUUCCCUGAAUUGGAGUGAUGGGGCCAGGCCUUUAUACCCUGUAUUGAUCAGUCAUUGGAUAUGGCUGUGACCUCGAGGGAGAGAAUUUCUUCAACCAAGACAAUCCCAAAAAGGACUGACAGCUAAGGGACAUCUUCUGGUAAUAUUCCCAGCCACUGAGAAGUGGAAUCUGGGAGGAGGGUGUGUGGGGUGCAUAGCAGGGUCUACCACAUAUUAUUAUCUCGGUUUACGGAUGAUGUAACUGAGGCACAGAAAGGUUACAGAACUUGAACAAAGUUAUACAACCAGUAAGUGGUAGAGAUAAGAGUAGAGCAUAGAUCACUGGGCUCCACAGUCCACACCCUUGAUCGCAAUACCAUAGUCUUUCAAUAAUUACCCUCCUAUUGUUCCUGUAUACUGUUCCUUUAAAGAAAAAGAAAGAGAAGUUGUCAUACCAUUAUAUCUCUUUCUACAUGCA